GGAAAUUGGACAAUGGGCGAAAGCCUGAUCCAGCAAUGCCGCGUGUGUGAAGAAGGCCUUCGGGUUGUAAAGCACUUUAAGUUGGGAGGAAAAGCUUGCGGUUAAUAGCCUUAAGUGUUGACGUUACCAACAGAAUAAGCACCGGCUAACUCCGUGCCAGCAGCCGCGGUAAUACGGAGGGUGCAAGCGUUAAUCGGAAUUACUGGGCGUAAAGCGCGCGUAGGCGGUUUGUUAAGUCAGAUGUGAAAUCCCCGGGCUCAACCUGGGAAUGGCAUUUGAGACUGGCAGGCUAGAGUAUGGUAGAGGUGAGUGGAAUUUCAGGUGUAGCGGUGAAAUGCGUAUAGAUCUGAAGGAACAUCAGUGGCGAAGGCGACUCACUGGGCCAUUACUGACGCUGAGGUGCGAAAGCGUGGGUAGCAAACAGGAUUAGAUACCCUGGUAGUCCACGCCCU
RNAcentral lists this ribosomal RNA (452 nucleotides) under uncultured marine bacterium. RNAcentral describes it as "bacterial SSU rRNA". It matches the Rfam family "Bacterial small subunit ribosomal RNA", at positions 359 to 803 of the family's 1533-position model. The record is from RNAcentral.